Molecule: small RNA, 27 nt
Filed under: Bombyx mori (domestic silkworm)
Lineage: Eukaryota; Metazoa; Arthropoda; Insecta; Lepidoptera; Bombycidae
Description: ovarian small RNA-33183
Source: RNAcentral
UGAUUUCCCGGUGUAUACACUUGCAUA